Molecule: long non-coding RNA, 3494 nt
Organism: Lutzomyia longipalpis
Lineage: Eukaryota; Metazoa; Arthropoda; Insecta; Diptera; Psychodidae
Exons: 3
Source: RefSeq, a predicted model, not a curated record
UUAUUCUAUUCUAAUACAUAUUUUAUUAUUUUUUAUGAAUACAUAAUAAUAUUCAUGGUGACGAAGCACUUAUAAUACGUUUUUGAUGAUCUGUGUAAGUGAUUCACCAAUAUAAAAAAAAAUGUGAUAGUAUAAAAUCAUUUUUUUUUAGCUUUUUUGUAUUCUUAUCAAUUUAGAUGAAAAAUUUUAUGUGGGUGGUUAUCAAAUUUUAAUUAAAUAUACAAUAAUUUUAAAUAAAGAAAAAAAUCAUUGCCUCUAUUAUUCUAAAAAUACAUACUGGUACCUAUAUCAAUAGAGUAUGUCGAUAUAUUAAAUUUAAUUUAAAGACUGAAAUGUUUAUAAUUAUUAUCUCAAUAUGUUGGGAAACAUUUCAAAGAUGUGUUCUUCACGUUGAUUUUAGAGAGACAGAGAGUGAGAGAAUUUAUUAUUAGGGAAAAACAAAGACAUUCGGACAUAUGAUGUAAGCUCUAAUGACGAAAUUUCACAUUAUUACAUGUGGUCAUUAUGAGGAAAUUUUUUUCUCUUCAGGUCAGUUUUGCUCAAGGUUUCACCAAAAGACACCACGCUUAGAGAGAGAGAGGUCUUUGUGCUCAUAUUUUUCAUCAUAUUACGCAUAUUACAUUACAUUAGGGAAAUUAUAUUUUAUUGUGUAAAAGUUUCGUGGUACAUAUCCUUAUCAAGUAUCAUCGUAAUAUCUUCUAAUAGGUCUAAAAGCAAUUCAUUUCAUACAUCUACCCAGUAAAGUGGGCUGUGGAGUCCACAAGUACUCCAGGGUGUGGAGUGCGUCCACUGUAGCUGCACAGUGGACGUAUUUUGUGCAGUACCUCUACAGUGGGUGCACAGUAUAUCCACAGUAGUCUUAUUUCCAAAGUCCACCGUGAAUACAGAAUGCGGAACUACAAAUGCAUCACCGUGGAUCCAGAUCCUGGAUUCAAAAGUGCACAUCCUAGAUCCACUGUAACUCCACAGUCUGACUAGGAUCUGCACUUUUUUUUUAAUAAUUUGGCCAAAAAAUUUUGGGUGUCCGUGGGAAAAGUUUUGAAAUCUUCCCGGAAACAUUGCUUCCUCUACUUGUUAAUGCCAAAGUGGCCAAGAGAUUGGAAAUCUGAUCAGAGAACUUUCAUCUCCUAGCUAUUCUGGGUAUCCGUGGGAAUCUUUGAAAAAAUCUUUCCGGGAACAUUGCUUCCGCCACUUUUUGAUGCCAAAGUGGCCAAGAGAUUUCAGAUCUGGUCACAGAACUUUCAUCUCCUGGCCAUUCUGGGUAUCUGUGGAAAAAGUUUCGAAAUCUUCCCGGAAACAUUGCUUCCUCCACUUUUUUAUGCCAAAGCGGCCAAGAGAUUUCAGAUCUGGUCACAGAACUUUCAUCUCCUGGCCAUUCUGGGUAUCUGUGGAAAAAGUUUCGAAAUCUUCCCGGAAACAUUGCUUCCUCCACUUUUUUAUGCCAAAGCGGCCAAGAGAUUUCAGAUCUGGUCACAGAACUUUCAUCUCCUGGCCAUUCUGGGUAUCUGUGGAAAAAGUUUCGAAAUCUUCCCGGAAACAUUGCUUCCUCCACUUUUUUAUGCCAAAGCGGCCAAGAGAUUUCAGAUCUGGUCACAGAACUUUCAUCUCCUGGCCAUUCUGGGUAUCUGUGGAAAAAGUUUCGAAAUCUUCCCGGAAACAUUGCUUCCUCCACUUUUUUAUGCCAAAGCGGCCAAGAGAUUUCAGAUCUGGUCACAGAACUUUCAUCUCCUGGCCAUUCUGGGUAUCUGUGGAAAAAGUUUCGAAAUCUUCCCGGAAACAUUGCUUCCUCCACUUUUUUAUGCCAAAGCGGCCAAGAGAUUUCAGAUCUGGUCACAGAACUUUCAUCUCCUGGCCACUUUGGGUAUCUGUGAAAAAAGUUACGAAAUCUUCCCGGAAACAUUGCUUCCUCCACUUUUUAAUGCCAAAAUCUUUCCGGAAACAUUGCUUCCUUCAUUUUCUCAUGCCAGAAUGGCCAAGAGAUUUCAAAUCUGGUCACAGAACUUUCAUCUCUUGGCCACUUUGAGUAUCCCUCGGAAAUUUUUUUAGUGUUUCCGCCAAAUAUCUGCGCGGCGCUAGUGUUUGUGGAAAAAAGUGCAAAAAUGGUGGGACGCUGCAAUCGCUGUGAUGGAAAUUCUCAAUUUUUGGUGGAAAAAAGCAUUGUUAUGUUUUUUUUUCUUCCCGGACGUCCCGGACGUCCCGGACUGUAAAACAACACAAAAGUACUCCGGAAAAUACUAAAUAUCAUAUUACAAGCGUAAUGCCGUACAUGAAUCUCAAUCCGGCAGACAGGCGGCGGCAUUAGCUGCGCGCAAUCACCAUCGACUUCUUCCGUACAAAGUGAUGAAGACAAAUCCUGAAUAUGUCGCCCUCCAGCUACUGUUGAGGUGAAGAAGGAAGAUCUUAAAGCUGUGCUGCGGUGCAGCAACCGGAAGCAGCUGUUCAGGAGAAUUACAAAAGCAGAACGUUUAAAAGCAAAAGCCAGAGCAAUAGAAGCAGCUAGUUGAGGAAGAAGAAGAGCGUAAUAAGGUGAAGGAAGCUGCUCAGGAGGUUGUUGAACGCUCUUUGUACCUAAGAUGCAGAAAGAAGAAGCCAAACUGCCUAUUAUGCCAGUUGUGAAGGAACAGAGAAGGAGCGAACAGUUGUCUUUCAUCGUGUUCUCACGGGCAUGGCGACGAGAAUUGAGGAGAACCUCCAGGAAUUGGGUGAGCAGCAAACAAUUUUGGACAAUUUCUUCUCUAAGGAUUGUUGUCGAUUACGUCAGGACUAUUCUCUAUACUAUCAUGUGAGGAGUGUCACCUUUCAACGUUUCCUGGCGGAACAGGGCUUCGACAUGACAAAGUUGCAGGACAUCUGGGGGAAGGACAAACGCGAUGGAAUCAAAGUGACCGUUCCGGGGCUACGGGAACUCAAGGAGGAUGACAAGAAGGACCAAUGAAACCAGUGAAACAAUCAGCAACAUCACAAUGGUGAAAACCAUCAGAAUAACAUGGCAACAAUCAUCAGGGUGGUCGCACCAGGGGUAAAAAAAUUAAUUAACAGAAAAGGAUCUUUUAAAAAUAUUUAAUUAAUUAAUUUGUUAAAAAUAAGAAUCGUUUUCUUUAAAAAAUUUUUGAAUUAAAAAUGUUUCUUUUUCUUCUUAAGAACUUUUGAGUAUUUUGAACGAAGAAAAAUUCUUGAAUUAAUUUGUGAAGAAAGAUCUUUUUCCUUUUAAAGAAUUCUUGUAUUAAAAAUGAUUUAUUUUCUUCUUAAGAACUUUUGGGUUAUUUGAAGGAGAAAGAAUUCUUAAAUUAAUUUGUUAAGAAAGAUCUUUUUCUUUUUAAAGAAUUCUUGUAUUAAAAAUGAUUCAUUUUCUUCUUAAGAACUCGGGUUAUUUGAAGGGGAAAGAAUUCUUAAAUUAAUUUGUUAAGAAAGAUCUUUUUCUUUUUAAAGAAUUCUUAAAUAAAUUUGUUAAGAAAGAUCUUUUUCUUAUAAAGAACUUUUGGGUUAUUUGAAGG